UGUGAGGAAGUGAAUUCUCGAAAUACAAGGAUUAGACUUCAUGUAGGAUCGACCAAGGGUCGUGUUGGUGAGCUUUGGAAAAGCCAAAGAUAUUAAAAUCACCAAAAGUGCAUUGGAAAUGAGUCCACGAGAGCAAAUAGUGCAAAACUUGCACUGGAGCAAAAUUGCUCUCGGGGACCGGUCCCUGGCAGGGAGGGACCGGUCCCAUCGGCUGGUGUUGCGGGGUUGCUUGAGGCAACCGGUCCCUGGCAGGGAGGGACCGGUUCCCGAACGCGAUCCCAGCGAGAAAAGCCAAAAAUUGGCUAAGUCCUAAAAAUAUUGCUCUCGGGGACCGGUCUCUCAAGCAAGGACCGGUCUCCCAGGGACCGGUCUCUCAGGGAAGGACCGGUACCCGAACGCAUGACCCGAGCUGAAGCUCUCGGGGACCGGUCCCAAGUCGGGGAGACCGGUCCCUCCGCGCGCAGAAUGCCCAGUAAGGGCAGUGCACAGAG
RNAcentral lists this long non-coding RNA (491 nucleotides) under Ananas comosus (pineapple). Its description in RNAcentral is "long non-coding RNA (ACOM_LNC043441)". Lineage: Eukaryota; Viridiplantae; Streptophyta; Magnoliopsida; Poales; Bromeliaceae. The record is from RNAcentral.